CGGGCACGCCCCCGCCGCGUGACGCGCCGGUCCCGCGUGGCGAUUGGCUGAGAGCGGUCACGUGCGCGGGACGCGGGGCGGGGGCGGGGCCGCGGUUGCCGGGGCGACACCGGCGGCGGCUGAGGGGAGAUUGGGACAGCUGUAUCAGCGAUGAGAAGUAGCAGCAGCCCUUAGCAAUGGGUGAUGUUUUAGCGUAUGAAGCUGAGUUGCUUGGACUAGUGAAAGAGUAUUUGGAUUUUGCUGGAUUUCAAGAAACAGUGAAAGUAUUUAAAAAGGAAUGUAAAAUAAAAGGGAAGCCACUACCUAAACCAGCAGAUGUUCCCUCAGAAGAUUCAUUGCCUGUUCAGGAAGAAAUGCUUACAGCAUUUGAAGAUGGUGAUCAGAAAGUUUUCUUCCACCUCUGGGAGGAGCAUAUUUUAUCUUCAGUCCAUGACAGUGAUCCAGUUGCUCAGAACCUGGAGUUCUAUCUCCACAUCUACUUUGCCACCUUCCUCUUGAAACAAACUAUGGGAAAGCCUGACAAGGCUGAACUUGACGAAAGGAUUUCUUAUUUCAAGGCAUACCUGGAAACAAAAGGAGCUGCACUGAGCCAGACCACAGAGUUUCUUCCCUUCUAUGCUUUGCCCUUUGUUCCAAACCCCAUGGUACAUCCUUCAUUUAAAGAACUUUUCCAGGAUUCUUGGACACUGGAUUUAAGGACAAGAUUGGAAACAUUCCUGUCGCUGGCUCUUAAAGCCAGACAGACUCCUCGGCUUCUCACUAUAUUUAAGGAGAGUGGACAGUGCAACAAAGAAAUGAUGCAACAUCUUCAUCAGCAGUUAGUGAAGCGUGAGCACAGGUACAUGACCAACCUGAAACGAUUGCGCAAGUUGCAGAUGGACUACCGUGGUCUCCUUGAAGUCACUGCAGAGCUGGUGGAUUCUUUGGAGGCCACAGUCACUGGCAAGAUGAUUACACCAGAGUAUAUUCAAAGUGUUUGUGCUUGCUUGUUUAACAAUCAUUUGAAACAAACUGUAGCACACAACAUUGACUUCACAAGGCCUGGAACUGGAUAUUACUCUAUGAGCCCUUGUGAUGACGGAUAUGCUUCCACACUGUUAAGGGCAUCUUUAUCCUCCAUGAAGGUGCAGGAUGUGCCAUUGCUGCCCUCUCUGGAUUAUGAGAAGCUGAAGAAAGAUUUGAUUACAGGGAGUGAUCGUCUCAAGGCCCUCCUACUGCAGGCUCUGCGCUGGCGCUUGACAACAUCAUAUCCUGGGGAACAGAGAGACACAAUCAUGCAAGCCUACAUCAGUAAUGACCUCCUAGAUUGCCACAGCAACUGUCAGAGAAGUGUCCUCCAAUUGCUAUAUUCUAAGAGUGAGGUAGUGAGACAGUAUAUGGCAAGGCUCAUCAAUGCUUUUGCUUCACUGAUAGAAGGUCGUGCCUACCUUUCUCAGAACCUAACAUUGCUGCAAAUGCUGGAGGACAGACUGAAAGCUGAAGACAAGGAUUCCCUUACAUGGGAGAAUGUUCUGGGGGCUCUGCAGAAAUUCAGCCUCAGGCGCACACUGCAGUCAGCAAUGAUCAAAGAUGGGCUCAUUUUCUGGCUGGUUGAUGUUCUGAUAGACCCAGAUUGCCUGUCUGAUUACAACCUGGAGUAUUGUGCUGCCUUGCUCAUGAAUCUUUGUCUGAGGAGUGCAGGGAAGAAAAUAUGUGCAAGUAUCCCAAACCCCAUGCUCAGAGUUCUUUCUGGUCUUCUUGACCAUGAGAAUCCUAAGGUCCAGUCAUAUGUGAAUGGAGUGCUGUACAGUAUUCUGGCCAUCCCUUCUGUCCGAGAAGAAGCCAAAGAAAUGGGAAUGGAAGAAAUUCUACGCUGCUUCAUCAAGGAAAGAAAUGAAGAGAUGGUUCGACAGAUGGAAUUUGUUAUCAAGCAACUCAAUUCAGAAGAGCCAUUCAAUGAUAGUAUUGUGUCUGAUGAUGAUGAGGAAGAGGAGUAUGAGGAAGAGGACAAUGACAUCCUGGAGCCUGAUCUGGACAAAGAUGAGGUUUUGCUGCCUCAGCUGGGGGAGCUUUCAGGAGAGAAGCUGCUGACAACUGAGUACUUGGGAAUAAUGACUCACACUCCAAAAACUAAGAAGAAGCAAUUUGCUGGUGUCCAGCAGAGUAUAGAUGAGCCUCUCCAGAGACCUGUGACACCAGGUUAUCACAGAACUGCAUAUCUAAUGCCAGAAAAUGGUACCAGUUCCUGUCACGACAGGGAUGAGAAGCUGCAGUCUCCAGCGAGUGGCCCUUCCUCCACCUGUGGUGGGAGACAGUCCAGCAUUUCUGACUUCUGCAUUUCCCCCUCAUCAGUUGAAAUGAAGUCAUCUGAAGUAUUUGCAUCAGGUCGUAGAAUGGACCAACACAUCCCAGCUGGUGAUACCUUAUCUUCUCAAUCUGCUGACUUCACUGAGAGCAAAGUAAAUGGUCAAUCACACAGUGACUUUGCCCUAGCCUUCACCAGCAAACCGAAGAUUCCUCGCACUCCUGACGGCCAGAGCAGCAGCCCUAGGAAGGGAAAGGUCCCUGCCAUUGCCCCCCAGUUCUCUCAGUCUGGACCCCAACAAUCAAGCCAUCCAAGCUCCUCAGGAUCUGCAAGGAGCAGACAGACUACUUACUACAGAGUCAGAAAAUGAAAUGAAGAUAAUUUGAAUAACCCAGUAAACGAGCUGGAAAGAGCAUUCUGAGCCUUGUGUGUUGCUCAUUCAUCGUUCCACACAGUUGCACAUGCAGAGAAGUGCUGUGGUUUCGUUCAGGGAGUACAGUAUUUGUUACAGGUGUGUUUUCUGGAAACAAGUUGAUUUUAUGUAAACCUACCUGAACUAGCUGGACCGCUCCUCUUGGAGCAUGGAGUGUGUGGAAUGCCUGAGGAAUGCAGAGGAAGCCCAGGCAGCCAGUCCUACAGGAAGUGAGAACAGUUCCUUUCCUCGAGAAUCACCUGUCACAUUGUUGAAGGACAGAGCCAGCUUCCUGUAAUGAGCUUUCCUGGUGACCUGCAGAGGAGAGUGAGGUUGUUGACACUGCGGGCCUUGCACAGGGAUUGGGGAUUAUCUGAUGGGAUGUGUCUGUGGGCUCUAAAACUAGCUAAGACAAGGGCCUUGUUAUUAGAAUUCGAGGUCUCAGCAGCAGCCCAGGACUGACAUGGGAGAUGGAUAUUUUCUGGUUGUUUACUCUAAAGUGACAUUGCCACCUCGAGAAGAAACUCUUGCUCUCUGCUUCUGUGUCAGUGUAAAUGGCCUUUGGAAACAGAAUGUAGGCUCAGCCCAGGAGUCUUACCAAGAAACUGUAUUUUUUACUUAUUGCUUGCUGAAGCAGCCUGCCAAUUGCUUUUUUAAAAUUCUGCCUGUGUGACUGGGUUGGGAGGUAUCUGUGUUCAAAGGAUCUGCAUGAAGAGGGACAGUGUCUGCCACAUGUGCAGAGCCUCCCAGCCCAGAGCAGUCCUGUGUGGGGUGAGAUCUUCCUGACCCUGAAGAGGAGGUAUUUUAUCAAAAUCUGGUUGACCUGUAGCAGAUGGAAAACACUGUUACAGUGCCCAAGGCAGCAUCCAUGCUCACCUCUGAGGUCUUUAUCUGCAGCAAUUACUCCUAUUACUUGUUUCUGCAUUUUUUGUUAAUUCUACUGUUUAACAUCUGUGGAAUGAAAAAUCUCUUUUUCUUUUUUCUUUUUUUUUUUUCCUGGAAUGAAGAGCUUUGCUUCUUCUUUCAUAGAAGAAACCAUGAGAAUGUGAGCAGAUUAGAAGCAGCUUUCUCUUUACAUGUAACUGUGCUCCAUCUUCUUUGGUGUUUGUUGUUUUUUUAUGUUCUUUGCUUCAGAGCAAUGACUGUUUAUGUCUUUAUGGAAUUUGUGCUGUCUUUGGUGCAUGUGAAGUGCUGGCUAGGCAAGAGAUAUCAGGAAUCCUUCCACUGAAUAAAAAGCAGCAGUUAGUUCUGCCAGUGAAUUACAAAGCUGGUGCUGUUUGUUGUUCUUUCUCUCAACAUAACAGUGACCAGGAAACACUGAAGUCUUCACUGGGGGUUGACUUUUCAGUAACACCCUUCAUGUGACAGCUGCUAGGACACAUAAGUGCAGUUUACACUGGGAUUUGGCUGCUGCUGAGGCAGAGAUGUACAAAAAGCUGACAGUGUAUUUGCCAGAGUCUGACUUCAGAAACAAAUGUUUGAAUGAGUAUGAAAACGGGGAAGGUAAGGCUUUGGUUUUGGAGAGCAAACAAGUGGAACACAGCCUGAAAGGUAAAGCAACUGCUGUAGUGACAGUGCCUUCCCCUAAAGUAAAGAGUUGUAAAGCCAUUGCUGUAGAGGCAGAAGAAAGCUUUGUGCUUCUGACAAGAUGUGGAAUUGGGCCUCUUGCUCUGUGGUGGCAGCUCAAGAGCCAAGGCCCCUGAUAUUGUUCCUUCAGACCCACUGAGAUCAGUGAUGCUGUGUUAAAUGUUGGCAGAAAGGGCUCCCACACACAACUUCAGGAAACCCCUUUGGACAGAGUUUAAAUCAGAAUGGAAGUGUUUUGUAGGAGUCAAGACCUCCUGUAGCUUAAAAUCCAGUGAAUUAAUGUGGAAGUUACCAUUUACUACUCAAAAACACGAACCUAACACCAAGCAGGCAGAGUAUUGGGUGUUGCUUUAGCUCCCAAACUACUCAGGACAUGGAGUGACUACAGACACUUGCUGGCCUCUGUCACACAGAUCCCCAUGCCAGACAAAGGAGCCACAGAAAAUCUCUGACUUGUGCUCAGAUUCAUCUGCCUCCUCUCAGAGCUGAUAAACACAACUAAUGGGAAAAUGUCCUCUGGUUCCCAAAAAGGCAGGAAUGGAAAACAGCCAUAAAAGUUCACCUCGAGGCUUUCCAGGGUAGGCAGAAUUUCCUCUGAAAUUGUUUUUUUUCCAGCACUGUAACAUCAACAGCCAGUUGUGAAUGAAGUGCUAAGCAGGUCAUUUGCAUACAUGAAUAACAGAAUGCUCCAGUAGCUGAGUUUUAUUUAUCUGACAGCUGUGCUGUGUUUCAUGUUGGAUCUAUGCUAUGUUCAUCCUAAAUCUGAUUGUGUAAGAUGGAGAGCAGCUUUUGAAAAAUGUUGAGAGCAGACUAAUUUUUUUUUUUUUUGAUGGGGAGCAACAACCCCAAAACCUCACUGAUUUUAUGAGUUGAGGUAAAACUUCACCACCCCUUGCCAGACACCCCAAGGUGUUUGGUAGGUGUGGCAGCUGCUCCAGCAGAUCAAGAUUCAUGAAAACCAAAAUGCAUUUUGCUGAGUUGAACUGAAAGGAACCAACUGAAGUGUGUGUGCUUCUUGCUCAGGCUUGUUGCAGUGCAGAACUCUAUCUGUAUAUUUUCCCAUGUUCUCUUAGCUGUGUAUGGAGUCUGAAAUCCAUGACUAUUUUUAUAUUAAUGCAUGAGAAACCUAAUUUUCCAAAUACCUGAGAGAAACUGUUGAUGUGCUUAGAAAUAAGUUAUCAGCUGAACAGUAAUUUGAGAGGCUGAGGAAGUAACAUGUCCUCCUUUCCUCUGUCUUCACAAAAAAGCCCCUGUGAUGGCAGUCAGGAGAUUUGAAGCUAAUAAAAAAUGUCAAUUCUGCCUUUGUUCAUGGGUCUCCACUCUUUGGGGUGGAAGGGUCCCUGAAUGGAGGUCAGUAGCACACACAUAGCAAAUUCAGCACCUCACUCUGAAAAGUUGUUGGGUGUCUUUUGCAUGUGCCACAAAGAGGAAGCUGCUAGAUUCAGCACCCUCCUGGGGAAUUCAUAACAGGAGCAGUGGAAAUUGCUGCCCCGGUGGGAGGGGUGUGAUUGCACUUAGAGUGGCUGUAAUUUCUUUCACCAAGAGCAAAUAAAAUUAUUGCAAACGACACACGGAUCUGCAAGGAAAGUUUUUCCGGGACCAAAGUCCUAAGUGGUGCUACCAUGUGUUUUGGAUGUAACUACUGUACCUUCAGUGUCAUUUUGUUUAUGCAGAGUGUUAUUUAAGCCUACUGAAGUUUGCAUAGAGGGCUCAUUCUGUACGAGUGCUUUAAAAUUAUCUUUCCAUGACUAAAUAAAAAUGCUCCUAAAGUGUU
Molecule: RNA transcript, 6057 nt
Organism: Passer domesticus (house sparrow)
Lineage: Eukaryota; Metazoa; Chordata; Aves; Passeriformes; Passeridae
Gene: ARMC9
Gene name: armadillo repeat containing 9
Exons: 28
Source: RefSeq, a predicted model, not a curated record